GGGUUUGUAGCUCAGUCGGUAGAGCAAUGGCCUCUUAAGCCACUGGUCCGGGGUUCGAAUCCCCGCAAACCCACCA
This 76-nucleotide transfer RNA is filed under the name Patescibacteria group bacterium. RNAcentral describes it as "tRNA-Lys". It matches the Rfam family "tRNA". Rfam says of the family: Transfer RNA (tRNA) molecules are approximately 80 nucleotides in length. Their secondary structure includes four short double-helical elements and three loops (D, anti-codon, and T loops). Further hydrogen bonds mediate the characteristic L-shaped molecular structure. tRNAs have two regions of fundamental functional importance: the anti-codon, which is responsible for specific mRNA codon recognition, and the 3' end, to which the tRNAs corresponding amino acid is attached (by aminoacyl-tRNA synthetases). tRNAs cope with the degeneracy of the genetic code in two manners: having more than one tRNA (with a specific anti-codon) for a particular amino acid; and 'wobble' base-pairing, i.e. permitting non-standard base-pairing at the 3rd anti-codon position. The record is from RNAcentral.